Molecule: small nuclear RNA, 106 nt
Organism: Dipodomys ordii (Ord's kangaroo rat)
Lineage: Eukaryota; Metazoa; Chordata; Mammalia; Rodentia; Heteromyidae
Source: Ensembl
GUGCUUGCUUGGGCAGCUCAUCUCCUAAAACUGGACAACACAGAGAAGAUUUGCAUGGUUCCUACACAAAGAUGACGUACAAAUUUGUGAAGUGUUCUGUAAUUUU